Long non-coding RNA from Cygnus olor (mute swan), 469 nucleotides. RefSeq lists it as uncharacterized. The transcript is spliced from 3 exons. The record is from RefSeq and is a predicted model, not a curated record. Lineage: Eukaryota; Metazoa; Chordata; Aves; Anseriformes; Anatidae.
GGAAUCACCUGAUGAAACCGAACCUGAAAUCCCCAAAGCAGCUGGGGCCUACAGGUUGAAAAGCAGAGGUGGAAGGGAGAGAAUUCUUAGCUGCAGUUGUUGCUUUCUGAACUGUCAAGUCUGUUUUAUUAUUUUGCCAAAGAAAUCUCUCUCUGCGAUUUGGGUAAGAGUUCUCAUUAUUUUUUGAUGUUGAGCGGUUUUACUCUGCACUUUUUUUUUGAUUCAUCAGUUGCUAAUCAAAUAGUCAAAAGCCAUUUUUAAUGACAUCUGGGUGGUGAUAGAACACAUGAAACAUGUUGUUAAUUAAAGUGGUUGGUAUCUAAAAAUAACAAUAUGGACUUUAUUCUGAAGCAUAGAUGAAGCCAGCAUGGAUAAACUGCAAUGGAGUCAUACUUAGUUCUUUAGGACUAUAGUUUAGAACCUGCAUGCAAGUGAAGAUUAUUAGGAAUAAGCUAAAAGUAAUUCAUGA